Molecule: ribosomal RNA, 302 nt
Filed under: uncultured bacterium
Lineage: Bacteria
Description: bacterial SSU rRNA
Rfam family: Bacterial small subunit ribosomal RNA
Source: RNAcentral
GAUGAACGCUAACAGAAUGCUUAACACAUGCAAGUCGACUGGAAUUCUUCUUCGGAAGUUAGUACGGUGGCGGACGGGUGAGUAACGCGUAGGAAUCUACCUGAUAGUUGGGGAUAGCCCAGGGAAACUUGGAUUAAUACCGAAUACGCUCUACGGAGGAAAGGAGGGGAUCUUUUGACCUUUCGCUAUCAGAUGAGCCUGCGUGAGAUUAGCUAGUUGGUGAGGUAAUGGCUCACCAAGGCGACGAUCUCUAGCUGGUCUGAGAGGAUGAUCAGCCACACUGGAACUGAGACACGGUCCAG